This 1031-nucleotide ribosomal RNA is filed under the name Lophiostoma paramacrostomum. RNAcentral's name for it is "SSU rRNA". It matches the Rfam family "Eukaryotic small subunit ribosomal RNA", at positions 71 to 1112 of the family's 1831-position model. Lineage: Eukaryota; Fungi; Ascomycota; Dothideomycetes; Pleosporales; Lophiostomataceae. The record is from RNAcentral.
GCAUUAUACCGUGAAACUGCGAAUGGCUCAUUAAAUCAGUUAUCGUUUAUUUGAUAGUACCUUACUACUUGGAUAACCGUGGUAAUUCUAGAGCUAAUACAUGCUGAAAACCCUGACUUCGGAAAGGGUGUAUUUAUUAGAUAAAAAACCAAUGCCCUUUGGGCUCUUUGGUGAUUCAUGAUAACUUAACGGAUCGCAUGGCCUUGCGCCGGCGACGGUUCAUUCAAAUUUCUGCCCUAUCAACUUUCGAUGGUAAGGUAUUGGCUUACCAUGGUUUCAACGGGUAACGGGGAAUUAGGGUUCGAUUCCGGAGAGGGAGCCUGAGAAACGGCUACCACAUCCAAGGAAGGCAGCAGGCGCGCAAAUUACCCAAUCCCGACACGGGGAGGUAGUGACAAUAAAUACUGAUACAGGGCUCUUUUGGGUCUUGUAAUCGGAAUGAGUACAAUUUAAACCUCUUAACGAGGAACAAUUGGAGGGCAAGUCUGGUGCCAGCAGCCGCGGUAAUUCCAGCUCCAAUAGCGUAUAUUAAAGUUGUUGCAGUUAAAAAGCUCGUAGUUGAAUCUUGGGCCUGGCUGGCCGGUCCGCCUCACCGCGUGUACUGGUCUGGCCGGGCCUUUCCUUCUGGAGAACCUCAUGCCCUUCAGUGGGUGUGUUGGGGAACCAGGACUUUUACUUUGAAAAAAUUAGAGUGUUCAAAGCAGGCCUUUGCUCGAAUACGUUAGCAUGGAAUAAUAGAAUAGGACGUGCGGUCCUAUUUUGUUGGUUUCUAGGACCGCCGUAAUGAUUAAUAGGGAUAGUCGGGGGCAUCAGUAUUCAAUUGUCAGAGGUGAAAUUCUUGGAUUUAUUGAAGACUAACUACUGCGAAAGCAUUUGCCAAGGAUGUUUUCAUUAAUCAGUGAACGAAAGUUAGGGGAUCGAAGACGAUCAGAUACCGUCGUAGUCUUAACCGUAAACUAUGCCGACUAGGGAUCGGGCGAUGUUUCUAUCUUGACUCGCUCGGCACCUUACGAGAAAUCAAAGUUUUUGGU